CCACACUGGAACUGAGACACGGUCCAGACUCCUACGGGAGGCAGCAGUGGGGAAUUUUGGACAAUGGGCGCAAGCCUGAUCCAGCCAUGCCGCGUGAGUGAAGAAGGCCUUCGGGUUGUAAAGCUCUUUCAGCCGGGAAGAAAACGCAUGGGUUAAUACCCUGUGUGGAUGACGGUACCGGAAUAAGAAGCACCGGCUAACUACGUGCCAGCAGCCGCGGUAAUACGUAGGGUGCGAGCGUUAAUCGGAAUUACUGGGCGUAAAGCGUGCGCAGGCGGUUUUGUAAGACAGGCGUGAAAUCCCCGGGCUCAACCUGGGAACUGCGUUUGUGACUGCAAGGCUAGAGUAUGGCAGAGGGGGGUGGAAUUCCACGUGUAGCAGUGAAAUGCGUAGAGAUGUGGAGGAACACCGAUGGCGAAGGCAGCCCCCUGGGCCAAUACUGACGCUCAUGCACGAAAGCGUGGGUAGCAAACAGGAUUAGAUACCCUGGUAGUCCACGCCCUAAACGAUGUCAACUAGGUGUUGGGUGGGUAAAACCAUUUAGUACCGGAGCUAACGCGUGAAGUUGACCGCC
RNAcentral lists this ribosomal RNA (574 nucleotides) under uncultured bacterium. Its description in RNAcentral is "bacterial SSU rRNA". It matches the Rfam family "Bacterial small subunit ribosomal RNA", at positions 308 to 873 of the family's 1533-position model. The record is from RNAcentral.